Molecule: ribosomal RNA, 466 nt
Filed under: uncultured bacterium
Lineage: Bacteria
Description: bacterial SSU rRNA
Rfam family: Bacterial small subunit ribosomal RNA
Source: RNAcentral
GGGCCCGCACAAGCGGUGGAGUAUGUGGUUUAAUUCGAGGCAACGCGAAGAACCUUACCUGGGUUUGACAUGCAUUGGACCGCCGGUGAAAGUCGGCUUUCCCUUCGGGGACUGAUGCACAGGUGCUGCAUGGCUGUCGUCAGCUCGUGCCGUGAGGUGUUGGGUUAAGUCCCGCAACGAGCGCAACCCUCGUCCUUAGUUGCCAUCAGGUAAUGCUGGGAACUCUAAGGAGACUGCCGGUGAUAAGCUGGAGGAAGGUGGGGAUGACGUCAAGUCCUCAUGGCCCUUAUAUCCAGGGCUACACACGUACUACAAUGGCCGGUACAAUAGGAUGCAAUGCCGCAAGGUGGAGCCAACCCUUAAAACCGGUCUCAGUUCAGAUUGGAGUCUGCAACUCGACUCCAUGAAGUUGGAAUCGCUAGUAAUCGCAGAUCAGCAGGCUGCGGUGAAUACGUUCCCGGGCCUU